GAUGAAGAACGUAGCGAAAUGCGAUAAGUAAUGUGAAUUGCAGAAUUCAGUGAAUCAUCGAAUCUUUGAACGCAUCUUGCGCUCCUUGGUAUUCUGAGGAGCAUGCCUGUUUGAGUGUCAUUAAAUUCUCAACUACACUGACUUUGAAUUGGUGUGGCUUGGAUUUGGGGGGAAAAUUGUUGUGGGCUUUUUGUAUAGUCUGCUCCCCUGAAAUUGAUUAGCGGUACCUUUGUGGAACUGUCUACAGGUGUGAUAAUUAUCUACAUCUUAGACAUCUGCUGGAAUGCUGCUUUCUAAACCUUACUUGUAUUGACAAUCUUGACCUCAAAUCAGGUAGGACAACCCGCUGAACUUAAGCAUAUCAAUAAGCGGAGGA
This 376-nucleotide unclassified non-coding RNA is filed under the name soil metagenome. RNAcentral's name for it is "partial contains 5.8S ribosomal RNA, internal transcribed spacer 2, and large subunit ribosomal RNA". The stretch from base 1 to 120 matches the Rfam family "5.8S ribosomal RNA", at positions 35 to 154 of the family's 154-position model. The record is from RNAcentral.